Non-coding RNA from Picea glauca (white spruce), 124 nucleotides. NCBI's taxonomy places the organism in Eukaryota, Viridiplantae, Streptophyta, Pinopsida, Pinales, Pinaceae. The record is from Rfam.
UCAUAUGUACAUGCUUACAACGUUAAUGCACUAGAUCCCAUUAGAACUUUGUAGUUAAAAGUGUUUGGGAUAGAGUAGUACUGGAAUGGGUGACCUCCUUGAAAGUCUUAGUGUUUUACAUGCU